UCGGGAAUUUUGCACAAUGGCCGAAAGGCUGAUGCAGCAACGCCGCGUGAGCGAAGAAGGCCUUCGGGUUGUAAAGCUCUGUUGCCUGCGAAGAAGGGCCCUGUCAGGAAAUGGGCGGGGUUUGACGGUAGCAGGCGAGGAAGCCCCGGCAAACUACGUGCCAGCAGCCGCGGUAAUACGUAGGGGGCGAGCGUUGUCCGGAAUUACUGGGCGUAAAGGGCGUGUAGGCGGCCUGUUAAGUCAGGGGUGAAAGACCGGGGCUCAACCCCGGGGGUGCCUCUGAAACUGGCGGGCUUGAGUGCUCUAGGGGGCAGUGGAAUUCCCGGUGGAGCAGUGAAAUGCGUAGAGAUCGGGAGGAACACCAGUGGCGAAGGCGGCUGCCUGGGGGGUCACUGACGCUGAGGCGCGAAAGCUAGGGGAGCAAACAGG
Molecule: ribosomal RNA, 429 nt
Filed under: Bacillota bacterium
Lineage: Bacteria; Bacillati; Bacillota
Description: Firmicutes bacterium partial 16S ribosomal RNA
Rfam family: Bacterial small subunit ribosomal RNA
Source: RNAcentral